This is a long non-coding RNA of Rhineura floridana, 901 nucleotides long. RefSeq lists it as uncharacterized. Lineage: Eukaryota; Metazoa; Chordata; Lepidosauria; Squamata; Rhineuridae. The record is from RefSeq and is a predicted model, not a curated record. The transcript has 3 exons.
CCCUACUUGAGUUGGUCUUUCAUUCCAAUGUGUCAUUUCUUUUUUAGCCAGACACAGAGAUAAAGAGUUGAUUAAAAGCUUUUAAGUGUUCUUUGUUAAAUUCUUUAUGCCGAGUAUCUCCUCAGAUAAGCCAUCUGAGCUUUACACUGAAGCACUGGCAAGCACUAAGCAAGUUGCUCAGUUAGAACAAUUUUAAAUCACAAAGGAGCACCACCAUUGAACAUCAACAGAAACAUUCUUCAGGAAGUCCUGAGAAGCACAGAAAAGCUCAUCACAAAGAGAGGAAAGCAGCAAGCAGCAAGCAGCAUAGAUGGAAUCACCUCUGCAAUUGAAUAAGCAAAUUUGGUUGAUGGAAUUCCAUCCCUCUUAACAAAAGGGACAUUCCAGUACAGAAAGGGGCAAGCUCUUCGUCUGGAGGACACACACAGCUUUCAGCAUUCAUAAGGAAGAGUUCUGUGCAACAGAGCUGGGGCCGGAAGCCAAUUUAGGGCUAAUGCAAAAUUCUCUGAGAGAGAAAAAAUGAAACACAGGUGUUGUGAGCUCCCUCACACACAGCUCUGCUCAAUUAUAGGGUGGUUUUGGUGGUUUCACACAAUGAGGACAGAUACGUCCACCAGGAACUAGCUUGAGAUCUCCAAGCUUGUUUCACCCAUGACCUGGCCUUUGCUUCCAUUUUUCAACCAUCUGAAGAGGUAAAAGAUGGCAAUAUUCCCCCUCCCCCGCCGAAUAUAAGGAUGUUUGAAUUCGUCAGUUUCAGCUUCUCUCAUUUUGCAAAUUGCAAGUUCAGUUUGCCUCAUUUCUAUAUCAGUUUGUUAUUGUUAUUAUUAAUAAUAAUUAUAAAAGUCCACACACAAAAACAUGUGCACACUUUUGUGCUCAUGUCUCCCAAUAUGCACAUUUU